UAUAGAUAAUCAUAAUAUGGCAGAAGUGUUCAAGAAAUAUCUUUGUAGGUGUAUGUUUGGGCUUUUCCAGGGAGACAUCUAGACAUGGAAUUGCAGGGUCAUAGGUACACAUACCUUCACCUUUACUAGGUAUUACCAAGUUUUUGUCCAAAGUGCCUAUACCUGUUUUGCACUUCCACUAUCUAUCUAGGAAUUCCCAACUUGGCCC
RNAcentral lists this long non-coding RNA (208 nucleotides) under Homo sapiens (human). RNAcentral's name for it is "non-protein coding lnc-DIAPH3-8:1". Lineage: Eukaryota; Metazoa; Chordata; Mammalia; Primates; Hominidae. The record is from RNAcentral.